GCGCCCGUAGCUCAGGUGGACUAGAGCGACUGGCUUCGAACCAGUAGGUCGGGUGUUCGAAUCACCCCGGGCGCG
RNAcentral lists this transfer RNA (75 nucleotides) under Deltaproteobacteria bacterium. RNAcentral describes it as "tRNA-Arg". It matches the Rfam family "tRNA". From Rfam's summary of the family: Transfer RNA (tRNA) molecules are approximately 80 nucleotides in length. Lineage: Bacteria; Pseudomonadati; Myxococcota; Myxococcia. The record is from RNAcentral.